UACGUAGGGGGCAAGCGUUGUCCGGAUUUAUUGGGCGUAAAGAGCGUGUAGGCGGCCAGACAGGUCAGCUGUGAAAACUCGAGGCUCAACCUCGAGACGUCGGUUGAAACCGUCUGGCUAGAGUCCGGAAGAGGAGAGUGGAAUUCCCCGGUGUAGCGGUGAAAUGCGUAGAUAUCGGGAGGAACACCUGUGGCGAAAGCGGCUCACUGGACCACAACGUGACGCUGAGGCGCGAAAGCUAGGGGA
Molecule: ribosomal RNA, 246 nt
Filed under: uncultured bacterium
Lineage: Bacteria
Description: partial 16S ribosomal RNA
Rfam family: Bacterial small subunit ribosomal RNA
Source: RNAcentral